AAAGUGAACUUUGCAGUGCAAGGAUGUGGUCAAAGUGUUUGACCGGUAGCCUGUCACAAAUGCGAGCAGCAGCCCUUCAGAACAUUGACCCAUUACAGGCCCAGUCUUUGCAAGACAGAGUUCCUGUUCGGUGUGACAGUGAAGGGAACGGGGCAUGAUGGAUCGGAUUUGUCAGACGAAGAAUGCACGUGACCAUGGCUGUUACAGGAAUGAGUUUCAUUUGUUUAUUUAACUCGGGUAUUUUCGAGUUCCUUUUAUAAAAAAAUAACUAUACACAAUGUCUUAGAAGCGGUUUCUAAUGGAACGAAUGCGAAGUCGUGUUUUACGCGCUCUGCAGAACUUGGGCUUGAACUUGACUUUUAAAGGGGAGCUCUCGGGGGGGAACGCCCCGACUUAAAAAUUGGAAUAAAUACGUUUCGAAG
Long non-coding RNA from Aptenodytes forsteri (emperor penguin), 422 nucleotides. RefSeq lists it as uncharacterized. The record is from RefSeq and is a predicted model, not a curated record. The transcript has 3 exons. NCBI's taxonomy places the organism in Eukaryota, Metazoa, Chordata, Aves, Sphenisciformes, Spheniscidae.